UCCAGAGCCGCUGAAGGGCGUGGGGAGAGUCAGGGUUUAAAAAUAGCCGCGACCCAGCGGCUGCAGAGGGAGCUGCUGCUGACUUGAACAUUCAGCAUCACCAAAACACAACAGCACCGCCUAGCUCGUUUUGUCAAUGUGGUUUUUCCACUAUUAUUUCUGCAACGCUGGAGGCAUGCAGACAGAAGGGAUGCAACCUGCAGGAUAUGCCAGGGCUUGUCUAAAAAUAUUUGACACCUGUUCUGUGUUCCGCACACUGGUCAUAUUUUGUCAGUGAAGACCUGUGUUCUAUCACCGACCACUCUAACUGGGAGAGACUGGUUCUCAUCCUCCUCAGGAAUUAUAUUGACUUCACAGUACCCACUGGGUAAAUGGGUGAGUAAACGGGUCCAUCCGUGCCAAGCAGCUUAAUGUGGUUGAUUAAUCAAGGAAUUAGACAUAAAAUUUCAAAUAGCCUCCAGAUAUAAUCCUAUAAUCUUAGCACUUGGGAGGCUGAAGCAGGAGGAUCACCUUGAGUUUGAAGCCAGCCUGGGCUAUAUAGCAAGACCCUGUCUCAAAAGAACAAACAAAUAGCUUCCAGGCAUGGUCUGCCUCCUGUUUUCAUGUUUUCUUCUAAACUUGAGGAACUGUGAGAUAGUCUCAAAAUUCUAACAUGUAUAGCAAGUCUUCUAAAAUAUAAAAUCUUAUAUAUCUCAAAUAUUGAGAAAUGGAUAGAUAUUUACUAUUUACAAGUCAAGUUUCAUUAAUAACAAGACUGAUGGUACAGUCUAAACUUCCAAAAGCCCACCUAAGGGUUCAAUAGUAUUUAAUCCAAUCAAAGUCUGACUAACCUAAAAAUGUAAAUAUAAAAAUAUAAAUCCUAGGCAAUGUCACAUAUUAAUUCAUACAUAAACUAUAGAAAUUGUUUUGGGGCUUUUUUUUUGGUACCAGGGAUCAAACUCAGGACCUUGUGCUUGUGAGGCAGGCGGCAAAACCACUGAGCUAAAUCCCCGCUUGGGGCAUUUUUCAAAGUGGGCUUCUUUGUUUAUUGUGCAGUUUAAAUAUAAAUUAGCUGAGCCUGGUGGUACACACCUGUAAUCCUAGCACUCUGGGCAGGAAGGCUGAGGCAGGAAGAUUGCAAAUUUCACCCCAGCCUGGGCAACUAAGAGAUUUACCAAGAAUCUGUCUCAAAAAAAAAAAAAAUAAAAUAAAAUAAUAAUAAUA
Molecule: long non-coding RNA, 1203 nt
Filed under: Heterocephalus glaber (naked mole-rat)
Lineage: Eukaryota; Metazoa; Chordata; Mammalia; Rodentia; Bathyergidae
Description: lncRNA (ENSHGLG00100033944.1)
Source: RNAcentral